AGUCACUGACAUUAGAUACCCCCGUAGUCCAGGGUGUAAACGCUGCAGACUUGGUGUUGGAGGCCCUUUGGGGCAUUCAGUGCCGGAGAGAAGUUGUUAAGUCUGCUACUUGGGAGUACGUCCGCAAGGAUGAAACUUAAAGGAAUUGGCGGGGGAGCACCGCAACGGGAGGAGCGUGCGGUUUAAUUGGAUUCAACACCGUAAAACUCACCAGGGAAGACUGUUACAUGAAAGCCGAGAUGAAGACUCUGCUAGAUUUUCAG
RNAcentral lists this ribosomal RNA (263 nucleotides) under uncultured archaeon. RNAcentral's name for it is "partial 16S ribosomal RNA". It matches the Rfam family "Archaeal small subunit ribosomal RNA", at positions 718 to 982 of the family's 1478-position model. The record is from RNAcentral.